CUGCGACAUGAUCUUGGUGAUUUGUUCAGCCUUCCUCCUUUAUCAAUUUUUUUUUUCUGAGAUGGAGUUUCACUUGUCACCCAGGCUGGACUGCAAUGGCAUGAUGGCUCACUACAACCUUGCCUCCCUGGUUCGAGCCAUUCUCCUGCCUCAGCCUCCUGCCCUAAAGUGAUCCUCCCACCUCAGCCUUUCAAAGUGCUGGGAUUACAGAUGUGAGCCAUUGCACCCACCUUUUUUUCUCAUUUUGAAAAUAUAAAAAAUUAAAACAGAAAUAGGGGGAAAAUGGAUCUCACCCAGAGGUAACAGGCUCCAAGAACAGUGGCUCUAAAAAGUCUUCUCUGGAUGAGUGAUGGACUUUUCAUUUGUCUCCUUGUUGGAGGGGGCGGGGGCAGUGAGUGUGUUUGCAGUUGUGCUUGUAUCCUAUUACGUGGGAUUCCUUUUGAUGUGUGGGAUGACAGGUGUGUGGCAUUGAGGGACAGAUGCUGGUAGUGUCUUGGGUACAGUUCCCUGGAGCAGAACCUGAGAAGGGGAUGUUUGUGCAAGACAUUUAUCAAUGGAGUGCACUCACAAGAAACAUGUAGGGGUCGGUGGGAGCCAUAUUGGGAAGGGAGGAAAGAAAAAUGAAAAAGGAUGUGGUCUCCGAUGCAGCUGGGCUUCAGCUUGAUCCCAUGGGGCCUCUGGGGAAUAAACUGUACCACAGGGUCUGCUCAGUCUUGGGGCAUGAAUGCAAGGUGGUUUCUUUGUUUGUUUGUUUGUUUUGUGUGUGUGUGUUUUCCAUAAAGCAGUCAGUUAUUGGCCCAGGACUACAGGAGAGGAUACAAAGAACCUAGGUCCCUUCAUGGGGAGGGACUUCCCUAUCUCCCAGGGACACUGGCUCCAGUGUUCAGUCACCUGCCCAAGAUGCCUAGGCCUGCAGGAGGGACCAGAGGCAGAUGAUGUAGACAAUGAUGAUGUCACAAAGAGAAGUGAGAAAUAAUGCAAGCAGCUCCAUUCCCCACGGCAACUGUGCAGAGAGGCUUGCAGGUCCAAACCACUGGUAGCAGCCCCUGGUAUAUCCAGGACAUCAGCACAUAGAACCAGUGAAAGGGUCCUCCCUCAUAGUGACGCAUGUCAUAGACUCAGAUUUAUACAAACAAAUGCUGAGCAAACCAUGAAGAGUCUCUGGUAUUUUCAACAAUAUCAUCACAGAGGAACUGUAUUGAUUUCCUUGCACGUUCAGGGUACUGGGAGAGGCAACAGGGAUGGAGGUCCCAUGUCAGGGGACUUCACAGUGUGACGGGAAUGUUCAACCUGCACCUGUUCCUUGCACCAUACUCCAUCCAGCUCUCCGCUCUUCCAGUCAUUUAUGCUCCUGUCUUCCGUGGAGGAAGUCUGGUAGUAUCUCCCCGGGACACUGGCUCAAAUUUCCAGCCACCUGCCCAAGACAGAUGGGACCAGGGGCCAGAUGAUGUGGACAAUGAUGAUGUCACAAAGAGAAGUAAGAAAUAAAGGAGGCAACUUAGUGGGAAAGGUGAUGUUCUGGGUUCUGAAGAAGAUGAGAGAUACCAGGCCAGGCUGUGCUUUGCCUCUUGGCCUAUUUUCCUUCCUGACUUUUUUCAGCCACAGUGAGUCUCUGAGACCUAGUUUUGGCAGAAGGAAGUACCAGAGGGAGCUGAGCUGUUGAACAUUAUGUGCGAUCAUGUAAUAACUGCAAUCGGAAGGGAAACACUCAGAGUCCUGGAGAAAGAGAAAUUCGCAUUUGUG
RNAcentral lists this long non-coding RNA (1743 nucleotides) under Homo sapiens (human). Its description in RNAcentral is "non-protein coding LINC01255:6". The record is from RNAcentral. Lineage: Eukaryota; Metazoa; Chordata; Mammalia; Primates; Hominidae.